Artibeus jamaicensis (Jamaican fruit-eating bat) is the source of this 108-nucleotide small nuclear RNA. The record is from RefSeq and is a predicted model, not a curated record. NCBI's taxonomy places the organism in Eukaryota, Metazoa, Chordata, Mammalia, Chiroptera, Phyllostomidae.
GUACUUGCUUUGGCAGCACAUAUGCUAAAUUGGAACAAUACAGAGAAGAUUAGCAUGACCCCUGUGAGAGAGGAUGACAAGUAAAUUCAUGAAGUGCUCCAUAUUUAA